This is a non-coding RNA of Phrynosoma platyrhinos (Desert horned lizard), 72 nucleotides long. Lineage: Eukaryota; Metazoa; Chordata; Lepidosauria; Squamata; Phrynosomatidae. The record is from the annotation of a GenBank genome assembly.
GCCAGUAUGGUGCAGUGGUUUGAGUGUUGGACUACAACUCUGCAGACUAGGGUUCGAAUCUCCAUUCAGCCA